UUUGUUGUUGUUGUUGUGCUAAGCUAAAAGGCAGAAUGCUACAGGCAUGGCCCUAAAGAAUGUAGCCUCAUGGGCAGUGUAGUCCGCGCUGCAGGGAGAAUGGACUACCAUACCCGUUAUGUGUCUGUGAGCGAGGGAGGGAGAGAAAGGAAAAGUCCGAGCUGUCACGGAGCAAAAACGGGAGCUGGAAGCAUGUAAAUAUAAUAAUAACCACUGCAGCCAAGAAGAGUGCCUGACGAGCCCAGCUGUGACAACAGUAGAAGACCAUACCAGGUGUGUCAGGCUUCUGGGUGGCUGCUCUGGAUGUGUUACUCACCUUCUCUGCUAGGGUGGCGUCUGGACACCUGUGCCUUCCUGGAUCCUCACCCUCCUUCUACUCACCUGAUGCUGGUUCUGGCUGAUUGCCCCUGACGCCAUUUAAGGCCACAGUGGAGUGUUGGUCCUUGGUGGAUUGUUGUGCUAUUUUAAGUUAGUGUAGCCCAGCUCUCUAUGAUAUUUUUCCUUGUGCUCCCUGGUUCUGUGGCUAAUCGUUGGUUCUCCAUCUCCUCCUGCAGAGACCUACCUGGACCCCAGCCUGCCUUCCCUUGAAACCCUUUGGAUGAGCAAGAGUGUGAGUGAGGAACGGUAUGGACAUCUGGACUGAGUGUGUAUUUUUCACAAGCGGAUUGAAGAGGAAUGUGAGUGUGACUGUUCCCCAGCCCUGGACCUACCCCUGGAAUCCGUGGACCCCUUUUCUCCCUCUCACUGUACAUAUGUAAAUAUUCCACCACUUGAGUCCAGCCUAGUCACCAUGACAAGGUGCCACUUCUGUUAGCUAAGAACAGGAAACCGAGGCUACAGUUUGCAUGGGUUGACCAAAAUUGGACCCCAUAGAAGAUUGGACAAAUGUUGUCUGGUCUAAUGAGUCUAAAUUUCUGCUGUGACAUUGGGAUUAUGACCACAGUGUACCCAUCAGUUGAAUAUGAAUUCACUGUACUCAAAUGACCUCUACAGUCACCAGAUCUCAAACUAACAGAGCAACUUUUGGAUGUGGUGAUUUGCAUAAUGGAUGUGUAACCUACAAAUUUGCAGAAACUUCUCAUGUCAAUAAACCAAAGUCUCUGAGGAAUGUUUC
This is a long non-coding RNA of Oreochromis aureus, 1114 nucleotides long. The record is from Ensembl. NCBI's taxonomy places the organism in Eukaryota, Metazoa, Chordata, Actinopteri, Cichliformes, Cichlidae.